RNAcentral lists this ribosomal RNA (433 nucleotides) under uncultured bacterium. RNAcentral's name for it is "partial 16S ribosomal RNA". It matches the Rfam family "Bacterial small subunit ribosomal RNA", at positions 29 to 507 of the family's 1533-position model. The record is from RNAcentral.
AACGAACGCUGGCGGCAUGCCUAACACAUGCAAGUCGAACGAGACCUUCGGGUCUAGUGGCGCACGGGUGCGUAACGCGUGGGAACCUGCCCGUAGGUUCGGAAUAACUCCCCGAAAGGGGUGCUAAUACCGGAUAAUGUCUUCGGACCAAAGAUUUAUCGCCUUUGGAUGGGCCCGCGUUGGAUUAGGUAGUUGGUGGGGUAAAAGCCUACCAAGGCGACGAUACAUAGCUGGUCUGAGAGGAUGGUCAGCCACAGUGGGACUGAGACACGGACCAGACUCCUACGGGAGGCAGCAGUGGGGAAUAUUGGACAAUGGGAGAAAGCAUGAUCCAGCAAUGCCGCGUGAGUGAUGAAGGCCUUAGGGUUGUAAAGCUCUUUUACCCGGGAUGAUAAUGACAGUACCGGGAGAAUAAGCUCCGGCUAACUCCGUG